GCCCAGACUCCUACGGGAGGCAGCAGUGGGGGAUAUUGCACAAUGGGGGGAACCCUGAUGCAGCGAUGCCGCGUGGGUGAAGGAGCACCUCGGUGCGUAAAGCCCUAUCGGCAGGGAAGAAACAGACGGUACCUGACUAAGAAGCCCCGGCUAACUACGUGCCAGCAGCCGCGGUAAUACGUAGGGGGCAAGCGUUAUCCGGAUUUACUGGGUGUAAAGGGGGCGCAGACGGCAGCGCAAGCCAGGAGUGAAAGCCCGGGGCCCAACCCCGGGACUGCUCUUGGAACUGCGUGGCUGGAGUGCGGGAGGGGCAGGCGGAAUUCCUGGUGUAGCGGUGAAAUGCGUAGAUAUCAGGAGGAACACCGGCGGCGAAGGCGGCCUGCUGGACCGCUACUGACGUUGAGGCUCGAAAGCGUGGGGAGCGAACAGGAUUAGAUACCCUCGUAA
Molecule: ribosomal RNA, 447 nt
Filed under: uncultured bacterium
Lineage: Bacteria
Description: partial 16S ribosomal RNA
Rfam family: Bacterial small subunit ribosomal RNA
Source: RNAcentral